This 342-nucleotide ribosomal RNA is filed under the name Triticum aestivum (bread wheat). Its description in RNAcentral is "partial small subunit ribosomal RNA". The record is from RNAcentral. Lineage: Eukaryota; Viridiplantae; Streptophyta; Magnoliopsida; Poales; Poaceae.
AUGGCUCUGUGGACUGGGCUGGGUCAGGCCGCGACGGUGGCGCAGCUGGUCGGCACAGACGUCGGCGGGCUCAUCUCUAUGAUUGUGCAGGCUGCGCUAACGGCUCGGCAGAAUAGGUCCGAGUGUGAGCAGCUCAUGCGUCGGGUCCUUAUGAUCCUGGGCGACACACUUCGGGAUGCCCAAGAGCUCGUCAUGUCCUGCCAAGGCAGGAGCGCCGCGUACCAGUUCGUCAUGGCCGGGAGGCAGGCCGAAAAGUUCCGGGCCGUGCAUAGCAGGAUUGACUCCUAUCUAUUCCUCUUCCCUGUGAUCAGCCACAUUGGCAUAACACGUCGCCUUGGACUA